UGAGUUCUCCCUGACUCCUUGAGAGUCCUGAAGGAACGUUGAAGACGACGACGUUGAUAGGCCAGGUGUGUAAGCGCAGCGAUGCGUUGAGCUAACCGGUACUAAUGAACCGUGAGGCUUAACCUUACAACGCCGAAGCUGUU
RNAcentral lists this ribosomal RNA (143 nucleotides) under Escherichia coli O145:H28 str. 4865/96. RNAcentral describes it as "partial 23S ribosomal RNA". The stretch from base 1 to 126 matches the Rfam family "Bacterial large subunit ribosomal RNA", at positions 2805 to 2925 of the family's 2925-position model. Lineage: Bacteria; Pseudomonadati; Pseudomonadota; Gammaproteobacteria; Enterobacterales; Enterobacteriaceae. The record is from RNAcentral.